UACAGAGGGUGCGAGCGUUGUCCGGAAUCACUGGGCGUAAAGGGCGCGUAGGUGGCGACCCAAGUCGAUGGUGAAAGCUCGCCGCUCAACGGCGAGUCGGCCACCGAUACUGGGUUGCUGGAGCACUGUAGAGGCAGAUGGAAUUCCGGGUGUAGCGGUGGAAUGCGUAGAGAUCCGGAAGAACACCGGUGGCGAAGGCGGUCUGCUGGGCAGUUGCUGACACUGAUGCGCGACAGCGUGGGGAGCAAACAGG
Molecule: ribosomal RNA, 253 nt
Filed under: uncultured bacterium
Lineage: Bacteria
Description: partial 16S ribosomal RNA
Rfam family: Bacterial small subunit ribosomal RNA
Source: RNAcentral